GCAAGUCGAGCGAAGCUUUUCAGUAGUUUACUACAGAAAAUGACUGAGCGGCGAACGGGUGAGUAACGCGUGAGUAACCUACCUUAGUUACUGGGAUAGCCCGAGGAAACUCGGAUUAAUACCGGAUAUUCUUAUUUAAUCACAUGAUUUUUUAAGGAAAGGUCAGCCGAACUAAGAUGGGCUCGCGUUCUAUCAGCUAGUUGGUAGGGUAACGGCCUACCAAGGCUACGACGGAUAGCUGGUCUGAGAGGACGAUCAGCCACACUGGGACUGAGACACGGCCCAGACUCCUACGGGAGGCUGCAGCAGGGAAUAUUGUGCAAUGAACGAAAGUUUGACACAGCGACACCGCGUGUGGGAUGACGGAUCUAGGUUUGUAAACCACUUUCAGGAGGGAAGAAAAUGACGGUACCUCCACAAGAAGCCCCGGCCAACUACGUGCCAGCAGCCGCGGUAAUACGUAGGGGGCGAGCGUUGUCCGGAUCUAUUGGGCGUAAAGAGCUCGUAGGCGGUUCAACAAGUCGGUCGUGAAAGUUCAGGGCUCAACCCUGAAAUGUCGAUCGAUACUGUUGUGACUAGGAUACGGCAGAGGUGAGUGGAAUUCCGAGUGUAGCGGUGAAAUGCGUAGAUAUUCGGAGGAACACCAAUUGCGAAGGCAGCUCACUGGGCCGCUAUCGACGCUGAGGAGCGCACGCUAGGGGAGCAAACC
RNAcentral lists this ribosomal RNA (709 nucleotides) under uncultured marine bacterium. Its description in RNAcentral is "bacterial SSU rRNA". It matches the Rfam family "Bacterial small subunit ribosomal RNA", at positions 57 to 774 of the family's 1533-position model. The record is from RNAcentral.